UGGGGAAUAUUGCACAAUGGGGGAAACCCUGAUGCAGCGACGCCGCGUGAGCGAAGAAGGUUUUCGAAUCGUAAAGCUCUGUCCUAUGGGAAGAUAAUGACGGUACCAUAGGAGGAAGCCCCGGCUAACUACGUGCCAGCAGCCGCGGUAAUACGUAGGGGGCAAGCGUUGUCCGGAAUCACUGGGCGUAAAGGGUUCGCAGGCGGAAAUGCAAGUCAGUUGUGAAAGGCAGGGGCUCAACCUCUGUAAGCAAUUGAAACUGUAUUUCUUGGGAUGUGGAGAAGCAAGUGGAAAUCCUAGUGUAGCGGUGAAAUGCGUAGAUAUUAGGGAGAAUACCGGUGGCGAAGGCGAGUUGCUGGACACAAACUGACGCUGAGGGACGAAAGCGUGGGUAGCAAACAGG
RNAcentral lists this ribosomal RNA (403 nucleotides) under Fusobacteriota bacterium. RNAcentral's name for it is "Fusobacteria bacterium partial 16S ribosomal RNA". It matches the Rfam family "Bacterial small subunit ribosomal RNA", at positions 355 to 776 of the family's 1533-position model. The record is from RNAcentral. Lineage: Bacteria; Fusobacteriati; Fusobacteriota.